Molecule: ribosomal RNA, 429 nt
Filed under: Chloroflexota bacterium
Lineage: Bacteria; Bacillati; Chloroflexota
Description: Chloroflexi bacterium partial 16S ribosomal RNA
Rfam family: Bacterial small subunit ribosomal RNA
Source: RNAcentral
UGGGGAAUAUUGCACAAUGGGCGCAAGCCUGAUGCAGCCAUGCCGCGUGUGUGAAGAAGGCCUUCGGGUUGUAAAGCACUUUCAGCGGGGAGGAAGGCGAUAAGGUUAAUAACCUUGUCGAUUGACGUUACCCGCAGAAGAAGCACCGGCUAACUCCGUGCCAGCAGCCGCGGUAAUACGGAGGGUGCAAGCGUUAAUCGGAAUUACUGGGCGUAAAGCGCACGCAGGCGGUCUGUCAAGUCGGAUGUGAAAUCCCCGGGCUCAACCUGGGAACUGCAUUCGAUACUGGUCAGCUAGAGUCUUGUAGAGGGGGGUAGAAUUCCAUGUGUAGCGGUGAAAUGCGUAGAGAUGUGGAGGAAUACCGGUGGCGAAGGCGGCCCCCUGGACAAAGACUGACGCUCAGGUGCGAAAGCGUGGGGAGCAAACAGG